CUUUCUGCCGCGGUCGCCGCCAUGGGUCGGUGCUGUCAGUGGAGAUUCGGGCGACCCCAGCGUUGGCUUUUGGGCUGGGACGGGGAAGGAUGAGACGCCACCGUGGAAGCAGCUGAAGUGCUGGGAGAUGAGACCCGAGACCCGACCGCGCUGAGCCCCCGGGACCGCAGAGCAUCUGGAGAAGAUGUUGGAGCCUUCCGUCCCCCAGGAAGGUGUGCUUCUCAAGACGUGAUACCACGUGAUAGGAAAUGAAUUACAGAGCAGUGUCAUCACUAGCAGCCUACUGGCCAUAAACAACCCUUGAAAGAUUUGGAGAGAAGCCUGCAUGUGGUUGGCAGUGGAUGCCCUUCCGAUGAGAUCUUGAAGACUUUGCUUUGAGUGAUAUUGUAUGGUUUCCAGUGGGUUUUGUGAAAUUUGUUGCCAGUAGUUUAGCAGAAAUGUUUUUAGAAUAGUGGUGUUUGACCAUAUAAUGUUACUGUAAACAUUCUACCCAAAGGUUUAAUUUUAGCCUACCCUGAAAAUGAAGGAAAGCUGAAGUUGUAGUCAGCAACACUGAUGGCAGCCUCAGUCAAGUCAUUCAGACUUGGAGGCCGGAUAACGUUUGGAGCUGAAAAGGGAAGAAUGACCUAUGGUAUUGUUUAAUUGUAAAGAGUUCUAACAGAACGCUCAGUUUCUCAGAAUGUUGCUAAGCUGUUCUGAUCAACUAAACGAACCAUGCAGAGUUCAAUGUUGCUGUUAAUUAAAUUUCUUCUCUGGGUGUAGCAUACAGCAACUGAAGGCAUUGAUUGUAUUAAGCUCAUUUUAAUUAAAAUCUUUAGAAAA
This is a long non-coding RNA of Dromiciops gliroides (monito del monte), 822 nucleotides long. RefSeq lists it as uncharacterized. Lineage: Eukaryota; Metazoa; Chordata; Mammalia; Microbiotheria; Microbiotheriidae. The transcript is spliced from 5 exons. The record is from RefSeq and is a predicted model, not a curated record.